Molecule: ribosomal RNA, 252 nt
Filed under: uncultured bacterium
Lineage: Bacteria
Description: partial 16S ribosomal RNA
Rfam family: Bacterial small subunit ribosomal RNA
Source: RNAcentral
UACGGAGGAUGCGAGCGUUAUCCGGAUUUAUUGGGUUUAAAGGGUGCGUAGGCGGACUGUCAAGUCAGCGGUAAAAUUGAGAGGCUCAACCUCUUCCCGCCGUUGAAACUGGUGGUCUUGAGUGGAUGAGAAGUACGCGGAAUGCGUGGUGUAGCGGUGAAAUGCAUAGAUAUCACGCAGAACUCCGAUUGCGAAGGCAGCGUACCGGCAUCCAACUGACGCUGAGGCACGAAAGCGUGGGGAGCAAUUAGG